UUUCUUUUUUUUUUCCUCCCCUUCAUUCAUAUGAUUUAUAUUCUUUUCCCUCGUAUUAAUAUUCAAACAAAGCAUUAGUUUUCUCCCCCUUACCCCACUCCACCCUCACCGGCUCACCCUAACCUGGGGAAACCUUCUCCUGCUGGCAGAUAGAAUAAUCAGGCACAAGAACACAAGACUUCAGAGACUGAAUUAUGGACCUGUAUUGCAAAUGGAAGGGGGGGAGGGGGAGAGGAGAAUUUAACCUUUAAAA
This 253-nucleotide unclassified non-coding RNA is filed under the name Hevea brasiliensis (rubber tree). The record is from RNAcentral. Lineage: Eukaryota; Viridiplantae; Streptophyta; Magnoliopsida; Malpighiales; Euphorbiaceae.